This is a small nuclear RNA of Choloepus didactylus (southern two-toed sloth), 105 nucleotides long. The record is from RefSeq and is a predicted model, not a curated record. NCBI's taxonomy places the organism in Eukaryota, Metazoa, Chordata, Mammalia, Pilosa, Megalonychidae.
GUGCUUGUUUCUGCAGCACAUAUACUAAAAUUAGAAUGAUAGAAAAGGUUAGCAUGUCCCCUGAGCAAGAAUGACAGGUGAAUUCAUGAAAUGCUCUAUAUUUUA